GGUAGUAUAGCAUAGUAGUUAAGUGCAUGCUUCAAGAGCUAACUGCCUGGGCUCAAACCCCAUUGCUGCCA
Non-coding RNA from Myotis brandtii (Brandt's bat), 71 nucleotides. The record is from Rfam. NCBI's taxonomy places the organism in Eukaryota, Metazoa, Chordata, Mammalia, Chiroptera, Vespertilionidae.